GAUACCAACAGCUGCUUCCAGUUGAUAGCAGAAAUCGAGAGGUUGAUAAAGAGGGGGCACCUAAAGAAUUUUGUGAAGAAAUCGGAGGGGUAGAGGCCUCAGCCCGGUCCGGCAGCUCAGACGCCGAGAAGAAUUGGAGGUGGUCCAGUGAAUGAUGGGUCCAGUGGGACCAUCAACAUGAUUGUUGGAGGAACGGGAGGACGGAUGAGCCGUCGAGGCAAGAAAAGAAACCGGGAAGGAGAGACCAGCAAUGCGGAAGUCAUGCAGAUCGUUGACCAUUCUCCCCUGACCAUCACCUUCUCCUCAGAAGAUGCUCAGGGCAUUCAAAUGCCCCAUGAUGACGCGCUUGUCAUUGAAGCCGUCAUUCAUAAUUAUCGGGUAAAGAAGGUUUUGGUAGACGACGGG
RNAcentral lists this long non-coding RNA (405 nucleotides) under Manihot esculenta (cassava). RNAcentral's name for it is "long non-coding RNA (MESC_LNC002730)". The record is from RNAcentral. Lineage: Eukaryota; Viridiplantae; Streptophyta; Magnoliopsida; Malpighiales; Euphorbiaceae.